GAUGAACGCUGGCGGCGUGCCUAAUACAUGCAAGUCGAGCGAACGGACGAGAAGCUUGCUUCUCUGAUGUUAGCGGCGGACGGGUGAGUAACACGUGGAUAACCUACCUAUAAGACUGGGAUAACUUCGGGAAACCGGAGCUAAUACCGGAUGAUAUUUUGAACCGCAUGGUUCAAAAGUGAAAGACGGUCUUGCUGUCACUUAUAGAUGGAUCCGCGCUGCAUUAGCUAGUUGGUAAGGUAACGGCUUACCAAGGCAACGAUGCAUAGCCGACCUGAGAGGGUGAUCGGCCACACUGGAACUGAGACACGGUCCAGACUCCUACGGGAGGCAGCAGUAGGGAAUGUUCCGCAAUGGGCGAAAGCCUGACGGAGCAAAGCCGCGUGAGUGAUGAAGGUCUUCGGAUCGUAAAACUCUGUUAUUAGGGAAGAACAUAUGUGUAAGUAACUGUGCACAUCUUGACGGUACCUAAUCAGAAAGCCACGGCUAACUACGUG
RNAcentral lists this ribosomal RNA (497 nucleotides) under uncultured bacterium. Its description in RNAcentral is "partial 16S ribosomal RNA". It matches the Rfam family "Bacterial small subunit ribosomal RNA", at positions 28 to 507 of the family's 1533-position model. The record is from RNAcentral.